Molecule: ribosomal RNA, 257 nt
Filed under: uncultured bacterium
Lineage: Bacteria
Description: partial 16S ribosomal RNA
Rfam family: Bacterial small subunit ribosomal RNA
Source: RNAcentral
UACGUAGGGUGCGAGCGUUAAUCGGAAUUACUGGGACGUAAAGUGUGCGCAGGCGGCUCUGCAAGUCGAGUGUGAAAUCCCCGAGCUUAACUUGGGAAUUGCGCUACGAAACUAUGGAGCUGGAGUGAUGGCAGAGGAAGGUGGAAUUCCACGUGUAGCGGUGAAAUGCGUAGAUAUGAUGGAGGAACACCGAUGGCGAAGGCAGCCUUCUGGGCCAACACUGACGCUCAUGCACGAAAGCGUGGGGAGCAAACAGG